This 2581-nucleotide long non-coding RNA is filed under the name Homo sapiens (human). RNAcentral describes it as "non-protein coding lnc-ATP6V0E2-2:4". The record is from RNAcentral. Lineage: Eukaryota; Metazoa; Chordata; Mammalia; Primates; Hominidae.
CAGGCAGGUGUAUUUAUACCAUUGGCCUGGUCCUAAUUUGUGCCUUUUGCCAUUAUACCUUGAUGGACAAUUUGCUUACAAUUUCUGCUCUCGGGGGUGGGGGUACUAGGACCAUGGUGUAACUGCUUACGUAGUGGUAUUCAGUAGGGCCUGGCCUGUGCACCCGGCCAGUGAGGACAGCAAAGAGGACAGAGCUCCACUUCACUGCUGGUUGUGUUUUCCUUGGGCCCUUCCUGUUUUGUUCUUACUGGGGGGAAUGUUGGAAUGGAAUGAAAAGGCUUUGUCAGAUCGGGUAGCCCCAGGGCUGGGGCUGCCAGAAGAUUUUCUUGUAACUCAUGAAAAACUUGCUGUUGUUGGGAUCCCCAUUUCAAAAGUUCCGGGUCCCCGACCCCUUUGUGACCUCAUACAAAGGCUUGGCUAAUACUGCAAAGUUUGGGAUCCACAGUCUACAAAACCCCACAGCUCCUAAGAAUUCUCUCACCUGCCUUCUGCCCUUAAGCUCCGGUAGAUUGCAAAUAACCUGCUUUCUUUCUGUUCCCGAGCUGCGUUCGGACCCGUCUGAUCGUAAAUCCCAUGUAAGGUACCUGCCGUCGGAAGAUUUGAACGUUCUACUUGGACACCUAAAACCCACAGUCCUCCAGGUGGGUCCUAAGGAUCUUAGGAGCAACGAUGGGGGGUCCUAAGCCAGGGGGGGAAGAGGGUCUGGCUCUCAGUCCCCGCCUCGCGGGGGGUGCCUCCCCCCUCUGCGAUGGGGGUCCUAAGAGCCAGUGGGGGAACCAGGGGCUGGCUCUCAGUCCCUGCCUCGCGGGGGGUGCCUCCCCCCCCCUGCGAUGAGGGUAGCAACAGCCGGGGGUGGAAGAGGGGAUAACUCUCAGUCCCCACCCUCGCGGGGGGUGCCUCCCCCUCCUGCGAUGGGGGUCCUAAGAGCCAGGGGGGGGAAGAGGGACUGGCUCUCAGUCCCUGCCUCGCGGGGGGUGCCUCCCCCCCUGCGAUGGGGGUACUAAGAGCCAGGGGUGGAAGAGGGGAUAGCUCUCAGUCCCCACUCUCGUGAGGGUUGCCUCCCCCUCCUGCGAUGGGGGUCCUCAGAGCCAGGGGGGGAAGAGGGUCUGGCUCUCAGUAAUCCCACGUAAGGUACCUGCUGUCGGAAGAUUUGAACUUUCUACUUGGACAACUAACACCCACAGUCCUCCAGGUGGGUCCUAAGGAUCUUAGGAGCAACGAUGGGGGGUCCUAAGCCAGGGGGGGAUGAGGGUCUGGCUCUCAGUCCCUGCCUCGCGGGGGGUGCCUCCCCCCUCUGCGAUGGGGGUCCUAAGAGCCAGUGGGGGAACCAGGGGCUGGCUCUCAGUCCCUGCCUCGCGGGGGGUGCCUCCCCCCCCCUGCGAUGAGGGUAGCAACAGCCGGGGGUGGAAGAGGGGAUAACUCUCAGUCCCCACCCUUGCGGUGGGUGCCUCCCCCUCCUGCGAUGGGGGUCCCCAGAGCCAGGGGGGGAAGAGGGACUGGCUCUCAGUCCCUGCCUCGCGGGGGGUGCCUCCGCCCCCAGCGAUGGGGGUCCUAAGAGCAAAGGGGGGAAGAGGGGCUCGCUCUCAGUCCCCGCGUCGCGAGGGGUGCCUCCUCCCCUGUGAUGAGGGUGCAAAGAGCCAGGGGAGGAAAGGGGGAGGUUCGCAGUCCCCGCCUCGCGGGGAUUGCCUCGCCCCCUGCGAUAGUGGUCCCAAGAGCCAGGGGGGGAAGAGGGGUUGGCUCUGAGUCCCCGCCUCGCGGGGGGUGCCUCCCCCCACUGCGAUGGGAGUCCCAAGAGCCAGGGGGUAAGAGGGGAUGGAUCUCAGCCAUCACAAAAUGGGGGGCCUUUAUGUUCAGGUUUUGCCCAAGAAUCAGCUUAUUUGCUUCUUGUACUAGCAGGGCAGUUGCUGCCAAGGCCCUCUAAUAGGGGGGCCAUCCUUUAGAAACCUGUCUAGUUGUUUAGAGACGUAGGCUACCGGCCUCAGCCAGGGCCCCACAGUUUGGGUUAAAAGUCCAGCUGCCAUCUUUUCUCUCUCUGACGCAUACAAUGGAAAAGGCUUUGUCAGAUCGGGUAGCCCCAGGGCUGGGGCUGCCAGAAGUUUUUCCUUUAACUAAUGAAAGACUCGCUGUUGUCGGGAUCCCCAUUUCAAAGUUUCCGGGUCCCCGCCCCCUUUGUGACCUCAUACAAAGGCUUGGCUAAUACUGCAAAGUUUGGGAUCCACAGUCUACAAAACCCCACAGCUCCUAAGAAUUCUCUCACCUGCCUUCUGCCCUUAAGCUCCGGUAGAUUGCAAAUAACCUGCUUUCUUUCUGUUCCCGAGCUGCGUUCGGACCCAUGUCUUAUUGUAAAUCCCACGCAAGGUACCUGCCGUCGGAAGAUUUGAGCUUUCUUCUUGAACACCUCAUACCCACAGUCCUCCAGGUGGUUCCUAAGGAUCUUAGGAUCCCCGAUGGGCGUCCUAAGCCAGUGGGGGAAGAGGGGCUGGCUCUCAGUCCCCGCCUUGCGGGGGGUGUCUCCCCACCCUGUGAUGGGGGUCACAAGAGCCAGAGGGGGAAGAGGGGCUGGCUCUCAACCACCACGAAA